GCCCGGAUAGCUCAGUCGGUAGAGCAUUAGGCUUUUACCCUAGGGUUCUGGGUUCGAGUCCCUGUUCGGGCU
RNAcentral lists this transfer RNA (72 nucleotides) under Procambarus clarkii (red swamp crayfish). RNAcentral describes it as "transfer RNA lysine (anticodon UUU)". It matches the Rfam family "tRNA". From Rfam's summary of the family: Transfer RNA (tRNA) molecules are approximately 80 nucleotides in length. Their secondary structure includes four short double-helical elements and three loops (D, anti-codon, and T loops). Lineage: Eukaryota; Metazoa; Arthropoda; Malacostraca; Decapoda; Cambaridae. The record is from RNAcentral.